GUGCGAGUCCAAGCGGCUCGGGUCGGAGUUUCGCGGCACCCCCCGCCCUGUGCCGCGCGGAGGGGGCCGAGGAGGGAGGCGGGCGGAGGGAGAGAGCGCGGGCGGAGGCAGGCCGCGAGCGCGGGCGGCAGGAGGGAGGAGGGAAGGAGGAAGCGCGCGGGGAGCGCGCCCUCGCCCUGGCCCCUCCGAGCCUCCGACUAGUCCUUGCAACUUCUUGGCCUGACAAUCGGGAAAAGUUGGCCCAUGCCAGCUUUCCGACAGGGAUCAAACAGGACCCUGAACCAAAGCAGACGUGAAAAAGCUAAAGAAGGACGGAGUUCUGACUCAAGCAAGGGAGAGAACUUGGGAAGUAUGAGGAGAUGGUACUGAGAAAAUGAGGAGGGCUUUCCCACACUCUUUCCUCCACUUCUCCAUCGGGAAGCACUCACUGCUUGUGCAAACACCAUUCCUAAAGUAUUUUCAGGAUGCCUGGACAGUUACGUGUAUGGCCACUCUGAGGCCUCAGAUGAGCUGUAAAGAAGCUGAAGGGACCUGCUCUCAGGAGGCAUCUCCAGGAGAGAGAGAGAAACCCAAACAGAUGUGACUGUGAUGAGUAAAAAUGAGAGAAUUCAGACAGCCUAAUCAGGAGCAGCCUCAGUACUUUUUGAGCAGAAAGGAAUUGGCUGUCUUUCCGAAACUCUGAAAACGAGAGAUUUCAAACACCCUCCCUUUGUGAAGAUAAACAUAAUUGGAGCCACUUGCCAGUUUGCUCUCCAUCUUCACUAACAGUCCAUCAAAACAUCUGAGUGACUGGUUACCAGGUCCCGGGCUGAUGAUGAGCUCAAAGGGAGGAAGGAGGGGCUGGUUCACGUGCACAAGGUCAAGCAACACUAGAUCUCACCAUUAACUGAGUAGGGCAGCAGAGGGGGUAUUUAAGAGACUGGGCAGCAAGUACCACCUUUUGUGGUCUCAUUAUGUCCAAAAGCCCAGGGAAAUGACUGGAUAGAAAUACAAAUGAGGAGAUUAGAGAAAGGCCAUUAGCAAAGGCUCUGCCACUUAACUCCAAGCAAGAAGAAAAUGCAUUUAAGGAAAUCUUGUCAAUGUCACACUGGAAUUUCAGGGACAGAAAGUGUGACUACUGUAUUCUGUAACAUAACCUGACACGUUUAUUAGCUGGCAAAGAGUCUCUCCUAGUCAGAUCAUUUGGGGGAAUUAUGCUUCAGAAACAAAGGUCUCCAGGACCAUUCUUUUAGAAAUUGUUUGGCUCUCCUGAUUUGCAUUCAGAAUGACAAGCCAGAGAACCCUGGGCUUGCAUUGCACUAGGAUGGUGGCUUGGUCUGCAUUAUGUCCUCUCUCUGAGGUCAUUCUCUAAAUACUUAAGCUAUAGAAUUUACUGAAGUCACCUCUAGUUUAUACCUAAAAUCAAUUGGGAACACACUGGUUAAUUCUAAUCCCGAAGAAGAAAAAUCCUAUAACCCACAUAAAAAUUUCAUUGUUCAGUCAUAAUUUAUGAACAUUAAAACCAUAAAGCACCCUGACAGUAUUAAUCAUAUCUAUGAAUUCAGCUCUUUGCCACUUAAUUAGCCAUAGCAGCUGCAACAUCAAGAGUUCAAGGCCUCUGAUUACCUGCUUGGUCAUUUAAUCAAGAAAACCUGGAGAAAAUAUAGGAUUGCUGGGGUGGAGGUUUCUCUCAUGAUCAUUAGGAGAGAACACAAGGAAAUGAGGUUAAGCUCCAACAUACGGGGAUUUAAAGUUUUGUACAAGGGAAACAUUCGUCUCAGUAAGGGUUGUUAAAUACCAUAAUUAAUUGCUGAUUCUCCUAUAGAAGCUUUUAUGAAUACAACAGAAAUUUUAUCUAUCUCAGUGGGUAUGUGGGAUGAUGUCUCCAAGGUUCUCAUUCUGUCAUAAAAACUACACUACUAUUUGUAUACCCAUGACCUGCAACCAAGAAGUGGUCAUGGGGAAAGGGACAGCAAGAUCAUUAUUGAGAAAGUUUAAGAUCCUGUCUGAUGGGGCAUGGAGAUAGCUAGUGCCCUUGCCUUUGGAAGAUCAUUUUGGGUGAACUUUGAGCAUGUCGGUCAAGGCAGUCACAUCCAUUUUUGAAAGUUUCUCUCAUCCAACAUGUGGGAAAAACUUUGUACAUCCAAUAAAUUCAUUCUUAACCAAAUGGGUUGCCUCAGUGGUGACAGAGCAUUCAGAGCCAACAAAAGCACCAGCUUCUUUGAGUUCGAUUCAGUUUUAUUCACUAAUAUUUGAAUAUCUUGAAGGAAUAUUUGCUAUUUUAUGAACUGACUGGUGGCUAGCAAAUAUAAAUGAAGUGUUUCUAUGAUGAAACAUUUAUGGCAGACUAAAAAUGUGCAAGACUCAGAGGCAAAAUAUCUAUAACACUGGGUUCAUUUCUUGCCUGGUGAACUAAGUAAUCUAAAUGAAAAGCUAGGAAAAACAUGAUGGAGGAUUUGAGGCAAAAGCAGACAAUCAGUAAUUUUUCUGGAUCUAAGCUGUUUCAAGAAAUAGGAUUUCUUGAGGAAGAUGACCUAAACUCAAGAUUGAGGAAGGGAACGCAGUAUUUGCAAAUGAUCUAAUGUUCAUUAUUACUUAGGAUAAGGGGGCAGGAUUCGCAACCAGCACAGGGAACUCUGGAUUGCCAACGGCACUGCUUCCACCAAUUGUCUAUCAACAGUUGUCAUUUUUUAAAGGAGCAGAGAGAUAACGGGAAACUACUUCAGUGCUCUCUCGGGAUUAAGAGUCUUAACACUUCUCUUUUUGGACACCAACCAGGAUUUGGGCAGGAGAACAUGCUGAAUUUGGAGGAAAUGGUUUCCUCCAGAUUCUAGGGAGGGGACGAAGGACAAGUCCAUGAUCUACCUAAGAACUGUGCAGAUGCCCUAGAUGGUUUUUAAACUCGCCACUCUGCUUAAGAUUUUUUUUUUUUUUGCCAAAACUGGGUUUCAAAUAGUGAUAACGCUCAAUCAAUGCUGUGGCUAUAAUUGGACAAGCAAAUUAAGUGCUGUAACACUAUUUUUUAACCCUUACAACAACCUGUAAGGUAGGUAUUAUCAUUAUUGCCACUUUACAGAUGAGAAAAGUGAAGUCUAGAGAGACUAAGUGAUAUAUCUAUGGUUUCCUGGCCUGUACCCAGGUGGCAGUGCCAGUAUUUAAACUAAAGAAUCUCAGGCAAUCAUGUGUACAAAGCAAGCCCUUUAAAUACGAUUGUUUCCUCCUUGGCACUGGGUCUGAAAUUUAGGUCACUGAACAGUGGUGCCUGGAUAUGGCUGUCUCUUAGCUUGGGUAACAGAAAAAGAUGGAAUAUGGCAUGACUUUCAAUUCAGUUAUGUUUUUUGUUUCUUUUUUUAAACAAAAUUGAAUUAUGAAACAAAACAAACAAGACUAGAUAUGACCUAUUAGCGUAUGACCUAAUGGAUAUGACCUGUUAUAGUUAUGAAUAUAGUUCACACACUUUUAACAAUAACUUCUUGGAACAAUAUUUAAAGAAAGCAUCACUACCUUUCUCACUAAAAUUAAAUAAUUAUAAAUCACUGCUUAAUGUCAUUCUUAGUGCCUCAGCACAGAGAGCACUUUGACACAGGACCUGGUCUGACUCAGGUAAUCUGGGGCUUUGGAAUGCUAUGAGACCCAAAGGACACUUACUGGCCUUUAUCUGCAUCACUACUUAGCAGAGAUAAGAAGUUAAGGCACUCCCAAUUCUCUCAGCUCUUUCCAUACAGAGAAAACUGGCUUUCCACACUGUAAGCUUUUUGUCUGCCAUCUGCUUUCAGCUACAGGAAGCUUGAGUUCAGCCAAAAGAGAGAAAAAUAUUACACACAGUGUAUUUACUUCCACGGUCUGAAGCCCAUGACUAUCCUUUUGCAAUCAGGGGGUUCUCCAGUAUCCAUUCGAACUAACUUGCUCUAACGUUUCCCUUCUGACAAACAGCUAAAAGUAGAAAGAGACUGAAAUUAUUUAGUAACUUCUCUGCAACCACUGAAGACCUCAAGCAAUUUUAGAACCUGAUUUCCUAACAGGGGCCUUGAUGCUCAAUUAACAGUCUCAUUUUAGAGAAGAGAUCUGAGGCAAGAGAUGUUAAAUGAAUUUGUCCUGGGCCAAAUUGUUCAUUCAUUCAUUCAUUUGUGCAUUCAUUUGGAAUUGACUGCAAACAAUUUGCCAUUUUCUGAGCUACCCCCUGAAGGAUGCAAAGGUACUAAUAGCUAUAAUUUAUUUAUUGAGCACUACCUAUAUCCCAGGCACUAUUCUAAGUACUGUAUCCUUAUUCACUCAUUUAAUACAACACCCUCAUGAGCUUAUCCUCAUUCUACAGAUGAAGAAGCUGAGGCUAAGAGAGGUUAAUGAGUCCAUUCAGGUAGGAGGUGGUGGAGCCAAAUGGAUUCAAAGCCAGGCAUUGGGACUUCAUAUCCCAUGUUCUUAAAAGUGCUCUAUUGACUCUCUAGUGAUUGUCCCUGGCCUCGAGUGGAGGAGAAAGAGAAGUAAAGAAAAUAACUAAAACACAAAUGUGAUUAAACACUGUAAGAGUAGUACCAAAUGUCCAAAGUGUUGUGGGCACACAAAAGCAGACACAGCUAACUCUGGGGACAGGAGGGCAGGAAUUGGAGUCAGCUUCAGAAAAAGGAAAAAACCCACAAAACUGGGGGCCAGC
This is a long non-coding RNA of Equus caballus (horse), 4630 nucleotides long. RefSeq lists it as uncharacterized. The record is from RefSeq and is a predicted model, not a curated record. Lineage: Eukaryota; Metazoa; Chordata; Mammalia; Perissodactyla; Equidae.